This 500-nucleotide ribosomal RNA is filed under the name Treponema sp. canine oral taxon 397. RNAcentral describes it as "bacterial SSU rRNA". It matches the Rfam family "Bacterial small subunit ribosomal RNA", at positions 9 to 495 of the family's 1533-position model. Lineage: Bacteria; Pseudomonadati; Spirochaetota; Spirochaetia; Treponematales; Treponemataceae. The record is from RNAcentral.
GAGUUUGAUUAUGGCUCAGAACGAACGCUGGCGGCGCGUCUUAAGCAUGCAAGUCGAACGGUAAGGGAGAGCUUGCUCUCCCCUAGAGUGGCGGACUGGUGAGUAACGCGUGGGUGACCUGCCCUGAAGAUGGGGAUAGCUAGUAGAAAUAUUAGAUAAUACCGAAUAAGCUCAUUUUUAUAAAGAGAAGUGAGGAAAGGGAGCUACGGCUCCGCCUUAGGAUGGGCCCGCGUCCCAUUAGCUAGUUGGUAAGGUAAAGGCUUACCAAGGCAACGAUGGGUAUCCGGCCUGAGAGGGUGAACGGACACAUUGGGACUGAGAUACGGCCCAAACUCCUACGGGAGGCAGCAGCUAAGAAUCUUCCGCAAUGGACGAAAGUCUGACGGAGCGACGCCGUGUGAAUGAAGAAGGCUGAAAAGUUGUAAAAUUCUUUUGCAGACGAAGAAUAAUCACGGGAGGGAAUGCCUGUGAGAUGACGGUAGUCAUGCGAAUAAGCCCCG